GGAUGUGAGGGUGAUCUGGCUGCAACAUCUGUCACCUCACUGAUUGCCAGGGUUGAUUCGGCUGAUUUGGCUGGUUAGGCAGGUGUCCCCUUCCUCCAUCACCGCUCCAUGUGCAUCCCUCCUGAAGCUGUGUGCUUGGUCGAAGAAGAAGGCCUUCCCCACAUAGAGUCAGACUGGUCUUUGGGCAAGAGUAGCUGCACUCCCCUGCUAGAACCUCCAAACAAGCUCUCAAGGUCCAUCAUUGGUUCUAUGAAACUCAUUUGGCCUUUGAAAUCCACAGGGUCCUUUUGGGUGU
Molecule: unclassified non-coding RNA, 295 nt
Organism: Erinaceus europaeus (western European hedgehog)
Lineage: Eukaryota; Metazoa; Chordata; Mammalia; Eulipotyphla; Erinaceidae
Gene: 7SK
Rfam family: 7SK RNA
About the family: 7SK was discovered as an abundant small nuclear RNA in the mid-70s but a possible function has only recently been suggested. Two independent studies have found that 7SK RNA binds the CDK9/cyclin T complex (known as elongation factor P-TEFb).
Source: Ensembl